This is a long non-coding RNA of Coregonus clupeaformis (lake whitefish), 319 nucleotides long. RefSeq lists it as uncharacterized. Lineage: Eukaryota; Metazoa; Chordata; Actinopteri; Salmoniformes; Salmonidae. The transcript is spliced from 3 exons. The record is from RefSeq and is a predicted model, not a curated record.
UCAGUGCUCUGUACAGGCAGAAGUUAGUAAGUAUGAGACAAUCUUUACUGAACUGAUCGGGUCCAUUGAGAGAAUACUCACUGAGGUGAAAAGGUUGAUUAGAGGCCAGGAGAAGACUGCAGUGAGACGGGCUGAAGGACAUCUGGAGCAACUGGAGCAGGAGAUAGCUGAGCUGAGGAAGAGAAGCACUGAGCUGGAGCAGCUCUCACACACAGAGGAUCACAUCCAUUUCCUCCAGCUGAAGACCAAAGAAGAGUUGUCCCUCUUCAGACGUCCUCCAGCUGACAUUGGAUCUGAAUACAGCUCAUCCAGAACUCAG